GAUGAACGCUGGCGGCGUGCUUAACACAUGCAAGUCGAACGGAAAGGCCAGUGCUUGCACUGGUACUCGAGUGGCGAACGGGUGAGUAACACGUGGGUGAUCUGCCCUGCACUUCGGGAUAAGCCUGGGAAACUGGGUCUAAUACCGGAUAGGACAAUGGUUUGGAUGCCGUUGUGGAAAGUUUUUUCGUUGUGGGAUGAGCUCGCGGCCUAUCAGCUUGUUGGUGGGGUAAUGGCCUACCAAGGCGUCGACGGGUAGCCGGCCUGGGAGGGUGUACGGCCACAUUGGGACUGAGAUACGGCUCAGACUCCGACGGGAGGCAGCAGUGGGGAAUAUUGAACAAUGGGCGCAAGCCUGAUGCAGCGACGCCGCGUGGGGGAUGACGGCCUUCGGGUUGUAAAAUCCUUUCGCUAGGGACGAAGCGUAUUUGUGACGGUACCUGGAGAAGAAGCACCGGCUAACUACGUG
RNAcentral lists this ribosomal RNA (468 nucleotides) under uncultured bacterium. Its description in RNAcentral is "partial 16S ribosomal RNA". It matches the Rfam family "Bacterial small subunit ribosomal RNA", at positions 28 to 507 of the family's 1533-position model. The record is from RNAcentral.